Molecule: ribosomal RNA, 529 nt
Filed under: uncultured beta proteobacterium
Lineage: Bacteria; Pseudomonadati; Pseudomonadota; Betaproteobacteria
Description: bacterial SSU rRNA
Rfam family: Bacterial small subunit ribosomal RNA
Source: RNAcentral
CCUACGGGAGGCAGCAGUGGGGAAUUUUGGACAAUGGGGGCAACCCUGAUCCAGCCAUCCCGCGUGUGCGAUGAAGGCCUUCGGGUUGUAAAGCACUUUUGGCAGGAAAGAAAUUGCAUGGGUUAAUACCCUGUGUAGAUGACGGUACCUGCAGAAUAAGCACCGGCUAACUACGUGCCAGCAGCCGCGGUAAUACGUAGGGUGCAAGCGUUAAUCGGAAUUACUGGGCGUAAAGCGUGCGCAGGCGGUUCGGAAAGAAAGAUGUGAAAUCCCAGGGCUUAACCUUGGAACUGCAUUUUUAACUGUCGAACUAGAGUGCGUCAGAGGGGGGUGGAAUUCCGCGUGUAGCAGUGAAAUGCGUAGAUAUGCGGAGGAACACCGAUGGCGAAGGCAGCCCCCUGGGAUGACACUGACGCUCAUGCACGAAAGCGUGGGGAGCAAACCAGGAUUAGAUMCCCCUGGUAGUCCACGCCCUAAAACGAUGUCAAACUAGCUGUUGGGGCCUUCGGGCCUUGGUAGCGCAGCUAAC